GAGACACCCCUAUGGAGCAGGACUUGCUUCAGUGGGGCUUUGGUGCUUACUGAGUCUGCCCUUUUAAUGUGUCACU
Molecule: non-coding RNA, 76 nt
Organism: Myotis brandtii (Brandt's bat)
Lineage: Eukaryota; Metazoa; Chordata; Mammalia; Chiroptera; Vespertilionidae
Source: Rfam